CAGAUGAUGAUCCCAAGCCUUCUGCGGUCUACGCAAUAAGCUCUCAUCAAAAGCUUUAAGCAAAGCUCUUUCCAUUUUUGUAAUGAUGCUUGUAUGAGAUAACGCUUUUAAGAGAUGAUGCUUUUAAGAGAUGAUGCUUUUAAGAGAUGAUGCUUUUAAGAGAUGAUGCUUUUAAGAGAUGAUUCUGGGGAAGGUUUUCCGGUUUAUCUCGGAGGGCUUGUAGCUCAGUUGGUUAGAGCGCGCGCUUGAUAAGCGUGAGGUCGGAGGUUCAAGUCCUCCCAGGCCCACCAGUUUAUCCAUCCAUUUGCCUUUAUCCAUCCAUUUGUUAAGUCUCGGUAACGCUUUUUGUCAUGAUAAAAAGUCGUGAUUAUAAAACUUAUAAAAGGCUUGUUUCUAAAAUGUGACGCUUAUCCAUUUCGUUUAGGCAAGAGAAACUUUAAGCAGUUCAAACGCAAAAUAAUUCAAAUUUUGCAAAACAAUUCAAGUUUUAAAGUGAUCAACGUUCGUGGUCAAAAAAUUGAAAGUUUCGAAUGUUCUAUCCUUUUUUAGGGGCCGUAGCUCAGCUGGGAGAGCACCUGCUUUGCAAGCAGGGGGUCGUCGGUUCGAUCCCGUCCGGCUCCACCAUUUAGGUCAUCAUCAUUGUUGUGAGAACACUCUUUAGUGAGAGGUUAAGUAAACCUUUUGCUUGUUCUAUUGAAAUUGUGAAGAGAA
Molecule: transfer RNA, 711 nt
Filed under: uncultured Bartonella sp.
Lineage: Bacteria; Pseudomonadati; Pseudomonadota; Alphaproteobacteria; Hyphomicrobiales; Bartonellaceae
Description: partial 16S-23S ribosomal RNA intergenic spacer
Rfam family: tRNA (bases 214-287)
Source: RNAcentral